This 450-nucleotide ribosomal RNA is filed under the name uncultured soil bacterium. RNAcentral's name for it is "bacterial SSU rRNA". It matches the Rfam family "Bacterial small subunit ribosomal RNA", at positions 26 to 521 of the family's 1533-position model. The record is from RNAcentral.
AGAGCGAACGCUGGCGGCAGGCCUAACACAUGCAAGUCGAACGGAUCCUUCGGGAUUAGUGGCAGACGGGUGAGUAACACGUGGGAACGUGCCUUUUGGUUCGGAACAACUCAGGGAAACUUGAGCUAAUACCGGAUGUGCCCUUCGGGGGAAAGAUUUAUCGCCAUUAGAGCGGCCCGCGUCUGAUUAGCUAGUUGGUGAGGUAAAGGCUCACCAAGGCUUCGAUCAGUAGCUGGUCUGAGAGGAUGAUCAGCCACACUGGGACUGAGACACGGCCCAGACCUCCUACGGGAGGCAGCAGUGGGGAAUCUUGCGCAAGUGGGCGAAAGCCUGACGCAGCCAUCGCCGCGUGAAUGAUGAAGGUCUUAGGAUUAGUAAAUUCUUACGACGGGAUGAAUAUGACACGUAACCGGAGAACGAACGCCCGGAUAACUCGCGCCAGCACGCGAC